GGUGAAAUAGCUCAGUGUUAGAGCAUGUGCUUAGCAUGCAUGAGGUCCUGGGUUCAAUCCCCCGUAUCUCCA
Molecule: transfer RNA, 72 nt
Filed under: Camelus bactrianus (Bactrian camel)
Lineage: Eukaryota; Metazoa; Chordata; Mammalia; Artiodactyla; Camelidae
Also listed under: 1 other name
Rfam family: tRNA
About the family: Transfer RNA (tRNA) molecules are approximately 80 nucleotides in length.
Source: Rfam by way of RNAcentral